Molecule: microRNA, 21 nt
Filed under: Ophiophagus hannah (king cobra)
Lineage: Eukaryota; Metazoa; Chordata; Lepidosauria; Squamata; Elapidae
Description: oha-miR-204-2-3p
Gene: oha-miR-204-2-3p
Source: miRBase by way of RNAcentral
GCAGGGGUCGCAAAGGGCUGC